CGGGAUGUAGCUCAGUCUGGUCAAGAGCGUGUGCCUCGGGCGCACAAGGUCGCUGGUUCGAAUCCAGUCAUCCCGA
RNAcentral lists this transfer RNA (76 nucleotides) under Corallococcus macrosporus. Its description in RNAcentral is "tRNA-Pro". It matches the Rfam family "tRNA". Rfam says of the family: Transfer RNA (tRNA) molecules are approximately 80 nucleotides in length. Their secondary structure includes four short double-helical elements and three loops (D, anti-codon, and T loops). Lineage: Bacteria; Pseudomonadati; Myxococcota; Myxococcia; Myxococcales; Myxococcaceae. The record is from RNAcentral. RNAcentral also lists the same sequence under 4 other names.